AUGCCCGCGUCGUUAUCCAUGGUGUCGUGUUCGGAUUCGAGGCGAACGAGAGGAGAGGAAGAGGCUGUUAGAGGUAUUCACGACCCAACUAUUACUAGGCUAGUCGUGUCCGGUUCGUACAUGGCACCGACCCGGUUCUACAGGCGACGGUCGAUGGUGGCGCUUGGACGCGCGGCGACGAGGCUGAUCCAGCGAGCUGUCGUUAGAGUAGAGCAACGCCGGCCCCUCACCCUGUUGUCGCCAAGGCUCAUCCACACCCAGCAGAAUUCAAGAUCUCCGUUCUCCCGGAAAGAACACCUUGUGUCGCAAAUCAAGCAAAAGAAAGAGGAGUUAUACGAUCUCAUCGCUAACGCCGAGGCGGCUUCCGUAGCUUCUGGGUCAGCCAUGUGUGUGCUCUCGACUCUCUGCACACGAAUCGAGCCUAGACCACAUGACCCUCAAUGGCGCCGGAUAACCAGAACCAAGAAGGUGGCCAAUUGGACUGCGGCGUCCAUCUUUUUUGUUGCUUCUGGAAUGAGUUUAUGUGGCGUGGUUGCCCGUGCUCCCCUAAUAGAGCAUGAAGGAGUGUACUACACUGCCGAGAGUGUGCACAGGCUAGUGGAGCAAGGCUGCCUGCCUGAGAGUGUGCUCAAGCAAGACAAGGGCCGAUGGGUCACCGCGUGCUUCCCAAUCCAGUCCCCACCCCAAGGCAUCAUAUGGCGCGUCGGGGACGGGCGAAACAUCCGUAUAUGGCGCGACCGGUGGCUGCCAAGGGAGCCGUCGCGACAACCCGUGACCUUGCAGGGCACGUGCCGCCUCAGGAGGGUUGCGGAGCUCCUGGACGACAAUGGGUCCUGGCGCAUGGACCUUCUUUGUCGCCACUUCCUCCCGGCGGAUAUUGACGUCAUCACUAGCAUCCGCACCUCGCCUCGCGUCCACGACGACAUCAUCACAUGGGCACCAGAGAGGAACGGUAUCAUCACCGUUCGGUCCGCUUACCGCCUUGCCAUGGACGAGCGCGAGCGUCCAUUGGCUUCCGCCACGAGCAGGGCACCAGAUGGUCGUCGCGCCAUCUGGAAGAUCAUACGGGGGUGCCCUGCUUCCCCGAAGCUUACUGACAUAUGCCCCCUCUGUGCUAUGGAACGUGAGGACGGAUUCCAUGCGUUUUGCAGGUGCCCCUUGGCAAGGGAACUCUGGCGCAUCAUGGCUCUGGACUGGAACAUCCCCAAGAUCACACACGACAAGCCGCCACCCCCUGCUGAAGCUUCCAGGCGUUUUUUGCACGGGUAUAUCAACUCACUAUUCUGCAUACAACAAUAUCCCAAGGGCGAUAUAGAGAAGGGGAAGAUGGUGUUUAAUCCCUCACCACAAGGCGGCCAUGUGAGCAAGGAGGCAAAGGAGAGCGUGAGCUGGGCUCCCCCUAUGCCGGGCUGGACAAAGUUAAACACGGAUGGGAGUUCCAUCGCAGCCACGGGCGCGGCGCGAGGUGGCAUGAUCCUGCGUGAUGAUAGAGGUGUGAUCAUCUACAACGCAUGUAGGGAGCUCCGCACAUGUGAUAAAGCCCUCGAGGCGGAGCGAACUGACUACACCUUGACAAACCGGCCUUCCAUUUCACCCUAG
RNAcentral lists this ribosomal RNA (1599 nucleotides) under Triticum aestivum (bread wheat). RNAcentral's name for it is "partial small subunit ribosomal RNA". The record is from RNAcentral. Lineage: Eukaryota; Viridiplantae; Streptophyta; Magnoliopsida; Poales; Poaceae.